UAGGGAAUCUUCGGCAAUGGACGAAAGUCUGACCGAGCAACGCCGCGUGAGUGAAGAAGGUUUUCGGAUCGUAAAACUCUGUUGGUAGAGAAGGACGUUGGUGAGAGUGGAAAGCUCAUCAAGUGACGGUAACUACCUAGAAAGGGACGGCUAACUACGUGCCAG
Molecule: ribosomal RNA, 165 nt
Filed under: uncultured bacterium
Lineage: Bacteria
Description: partial 16S rRNA
Rfam family: Bacterial small subunit ribosomal RNA
Source: RNAcentral